CCCACAAGCGUGUAGCUUUAAUUAAACGUUAUCGUGUUUAAUUAAAUAUUGAAGUUAUAUCUGAUAUUUGCUGUGUUGGUGUAAUGUACUCAGGUGAUUGAGAUGCUUGUGUGAUGUUACUCUGAGUAUAUAUCCACACCAGGCGGCAUAAAAAGCCUGAUUGCUAUGAUUAUUAGAUUACACUGAUAUCGAAGGAACUAGACUCAGUUCCGAAAUAUCGCACAUUCGAACCGACCUGACCCCGUAGCUCAGUUGGUAGAGCAUUGGGUUAGUAUUCCAAAGGUCGUAGGUACUGUAGGUUCGAAUCCCGCGGUGGCCAGGCAUAUGUUUCAAGCCUUCCCGGUGUGGAACACACUCAGAGCAACAUCACACAACUGACACAAGCAAAGUUAUAUCUAUUUUGGAGCGCAGUCACUAAGUGUGAGCAGAUGUGAGCAAAUCGAAUGGUUCUCCUUGACGGGAAAAUUACAAAACCAGCACUUAACCAACGAUAUAACGUCUUGCGCGCCGCGCAAGCUAUAUGAAAAGGACGACGUAAGCUAUAUGAAA
Molecule: non-coding RNA, 549 nt
Organism: Paramuricea clavata
Lineage: Eukaryota; Metazoa; Cnidaria; Anthozoa; Malacalcyonacea; Plexauridae
Source: the annotation of a GenBank genome assembly